GGAUAUGCUUAUAAGUAAAAGGGAAAAUAUGAGGAAAAUAAGUGAAAGUAAAUUAUAAUGUAAAAUAAACAAUUGUGUCAGAUAUAAGUUGGGUGUGAAAAUUAUUAUUCAUUAACGAAAGAAAUAUUCAAUAUUUAUAAAAUUUAAAUAGAUUAAAGCAAUGAGCUAUAGUACCUUGCUUUAAACUGAAAAAUUAAGUUCUGAUAUUAUUUACUCAGAACAAAAAAAAAAAAAAAAAAAUUCAUUUUGGUGUCAGACUUAAAAUAUCUUAAGUGUCUUAGGAGAAUUCUUGUAAAAAUUAAAAAUGUGCUGUAAUUCUAGAUACAGGACCUGUCUUUAUGUAGUUUACUUCAAUAAUCAUUAACUUCACUUCUCAAUAGUAAUAUGAAUUAAUAAAUAGAAAAGAAACUGAAUUUUUUUUCAAAGUCAAUGUGACUAAAAAUUUAGAUGUCAUUGCCCUUCAUUCAACAGCCUGUAAACUGAUUGAAAAAAAAUGUGUCAAGUAAAGAGUUAAUAUUUCUCUAUCUUCAGCUUUUUAAAUCACAUCUUGAUUGUUACGAAAUAUUUUAAAUUUUUCCUCAUUUGGUUGACCUUACUGUAGAAUUAGCUAGAAGAAAAUUGUUUUGAACUUAGUUAUAAAAAAGACUUAUCUGUACACAUUCCUAUGAAAACUGCUGCGGUCUGUGCAUUCGCUUUUAAAGCUUUCAACAAUGAUUUUGGAUUUGUAUUCUGUGUCUCAAUAUUAAAAGUGUUCAUUUGGAGCAUUUUGUAGCUUUUUGAAAUUUAAAAAUAAGUUAUUAUGCCUCAUUGUUCAAAAUUAAAUUUAAGCCAAAUCCAUGUCAAAUUAUAUGUUUUUGCCAUUUAACGUUUUAUUUUUUGCAGCAGCCUUGUGGAAAGCCUAAGAAAGGAAAACUUAAUGAACAGCUAAAAUAUUGUAAUGUAGUAUUGAAAGAACUCUUUGCUAAGAAGCAUGGGGGCUAUGCAUGGCCAUUUUACAAACCAGUUGAUGCAAAACUUCUGGAUCUACCAGAUUAUCAUGAAGUUAUUAAACAUCCAAUGGAUCUAGGUACUAUCAAG
Non-coding RNA from Parasteatoda tepidariorum (common house spider), 1077 nucleotides. The record is from RefSeq and is a predicted model, not a curated record. NCBI's taxonomy places the organism in Eukaryota, Metazoa, Arthropoda, Arachnida, Araneae, Theridiidae.